RNAcentral lists this ribosomal RNA (443 nucleotides) under uncultured bacterium. RNAcentral describes it as "partial 16S ribosomal RNA". It matches the Rfam family "Bacterial small subunit ribosomal RNA", at positions 338 to 795 of the family's 1533-position model. The record is from RNAcentral.
CCUACGGGUGGCAGCAGUGGGGAAUAUUGGGCAAUGGGCGCAAGCCUGACCCAGCAACGCCGCGUGAAGGAAGAAGGCUUUCGGGUGGUAAACUUCUUUUGUCAGGGACGAAGCAAGUGACGGUACCUGACGAAGAAGCCACGGCUAACUAGGUGCCAGCAGCCGCGGUAAUACGUAGGCGGCAAGCGUUGUCCGGAUUUACUGGGUGUAAAGGGCGUGUAGGUGGGGGGGCAAGUCGGCUGUGAAAACCACGGGCUAAACCUGUGCCCUGCCUUUGAAACUGUUUUUCUGGAGUGCUGGUGCGGCAAUCGGAAUUCGGUGUGUAGCGGUGAAAUGCGUAGAUAUAAGGAGGAACACCAGUUGCGAAGGCGGAUUGCUGAACAGGAACUGACGCUGAGGCGCGAAAGCGUGGGGAGCAAACAGGAUUAGAUACCCCAGUAGUC